GUGCUGUUCACGACAUUUCGCGUGAUCCUACGGCUGUUUUAUCCGUAUUUCAAUUUCACACUAGGUAGAUCAUUACAGGUCCUAUAUUUCAAUAUACAAUUUUACCACCAUGUUCGCGCGAGAACAAACUCUGUAACCUAACCUUGUACAUUAUCAUGGUAACCUUUACAAUUUAAUGUCGUUAAAUUCAUUACGCAGUCGCUACAGUGCACCUAGUUGAUUUUACACCAGAAAUUUAUUUUGUACUGUACAAUAUUGGCACAGUAUGUUUCACUCGAACGGAAAAAUGAAAUAUUUCAGCCGGACGGACUCGAAACGGGGGGGAGGAGAUUUCUUGGAUAGUGUAGGCGUUUCAAUAUUUUAACCCUUGCCACGGCGUA
This is a non-coding RNA of Cinara cedri, 380 nucleotides long. NCBI's taxonomy places the organism in Eukaryota, Metazoa, Arthropoda, Insecta, Hemiptera, Aphididae. The record is from the annotation of a GenBank genome assembly.